Molecule: ribosomal RNA, 487 nt
Filed under: uncultured bacterium
Lineage: Bacteria
Description: partial 16S ribosomal RNA
Rfam family: Bacterial small subunit ribosomal RNA
Source: RNAcentral
GACGAACGCUGGCGGCGUGCUUAACACAUGCAAGUCGAACGGGCUCUGUCUGGCUGUGUGCUGGGUGGGGUUAGUGGCGAACGGGUGAGUAAUACGUGAGUAACCUGCCCUCUUCUUUGGGAUAAGCCUUGGAAACGGGGUCUAAUACUGGAUAUUCCUGUCUGGUCGCAUGGCUGGGUGGGGAAAGUUUUUUUCGGUGGGGGAUGGGCUCGCGGCCUAUCAGCUUGUUGGUGGGGUGAUGGCCUACCAAGGCGUCGACGGGUAGCCGGCCUGAGAGGGUGAACGGCCACACUGGGACUGAGAUACGGCCCAGACUCCUACGGGAGGCAGCAGUGGGGGAUAUUGCACAAUGGGCGCAAGCCUGAUGCAGCGACGCCGCGUGGGGGAUGACGGCUUUCGGGUUGUAAACCUCUUUCGUCGGGGGACAAGGCUCUGCUUGGUGGUGGGGUUGAGGGUACCCGGUGAAGAAGCGCCGGCUAACUACGUG